GUGAUCUGCGGAAGGAUCAUUG
Molecule: ribosomal RNA, 22 nt
Filed under: Quercus falcata
Lineage: Eukaryota; Viridiplantae; Streptophyta; Magnoliopsida; Fagales; Fagaceae
Description: partial 18S ribosomal RNA
Source: RNAcentral